UGAACCAGCCAAGUAGCGUGCAGGAUGACGGCCCUAUGGGUUGUAAACUGCUUUUAUAAGGGAAUAAAGUGAGUCUCGUGAGACUUUUUGCAUGUACCUUAUGAAUAAGGACCGGCUAAUUCCGUGCCAGCAGCCGCGGUAAUACGGAAGGUCCGGGCGUUAUCCGGAUUUAUUGGGUUUAAAGGGAGCGUAGGCCGGAGAUUAAGCGUGUUGUGAAAUGUAGACGCUCAACGUCUGCACUGCAGCGCGAACUGGUUUCCUUGAGUACGCACAAAGUGGGCGGAAUUCGUGGUGUAGCGGUGAAAUGCUUAGAUAUCACGAAGAACUCCGAUUGCGAAGGCAGCUCACUGAAGCGCAACUGACGCUGAAGCUCGAAAGUGCGGGUAUCGAACAGGAUUAGAUACCCUGGUAGUCCGCACGGUAAACGAUGGAUGCCCGCUGUUGGUCUGAAUAGGUCAG
RNAcentral lists this ribosomal RNA (459 nucleotides) under uncultured organism. RNAcentral's name for it is "bacterial SSU rRNA". It matches the Rfam family "Bacterial small subunit ribosomal RNA", at positions 384 to 843 of the family's 1533-position model. The record is from RNAcentral.